This is a long non-coding RNA of Cyprinus carpio carpio, 508 nucleotides long. NCBI's taxonomy places the organism in Eukaryota, Metazoa, Chordata, Actinopteri, Cypriniformes, Cyprinidae. The record is from Ensembl.
ACUCCUGCAGGUUGGUAAUGUUUGUUUACCACUGCAGUGGCAUGAAGGAAUAUGUUCAGUUUGUUCCAACACCAUAAAUCAUCUCUUGCACUCAUGUAGAAACGGACAUCUUUAAGUUGCAGCAAUCUACACACACGUGCUUCCAGAUGAACCUGAGAAGUCAGUGAAGAGCCAGAUGAUGUUGGAGGGAGAUUUGAGAAGGCUUAUCUUUGGAUAGAUCGGGGAGCAGGCUGCAGCUGCGCUGAAAUGAUUUAUAUGAUGGUGAACCUGUUGGAUAGCAGAUACAAUUUAGAAGACAAAGGUGGACCAAUACACAUUCUAGACGUCUGAUGUAGUCCUGCCACCAUCACCUGCUGAAUCCCUCUCUUCAUGUUCCCCAGCCCCCACCGACGGCACCACAGAUUGAGUCACACCAGAUGUGGAGCCUUGCAGUAGGGAAGACUAAUUGUUUUUCACUGCUACAACCUCAUUGGGUUUUUUCACGUUCAUAAAUGUAUUUAACAUUAGG